RNAcentral lists this ribosomal RNA (492 nucleotides) under uncultured bacterium. RNAcentral's name for it is "partial 16S ribosomal RNA". It matches the Rfam family "Bacterial small subunit ribosomal RNA", at positions 29 to 507 of the family's 1533-position model. The record is from RNAcentral.
AGUGGACGCUGGCGGUAGGCCUAACACAUGCAAGUCGAACGGCAGCACAGUAAGAGCUUGCUCUUACGGGUGGCGAGUGGCGGACGGGUGAGGAAUACAUCGGAUUCUACUUUUUCGUGGGGGAUAACGUAGGGAAAUUUACGCUAAUACCGCAUACGACCUACGGGUGAAAGCAGGGGAUCUUCGGACCUUGCGCGAUUGAAUGAGCCGAUGUCGGAUUAGCUAGUUGGCGGGGUAAAGGCCCACCAAGGCGACGAUCCGUAGCUGGUCUGAGAGGAUGAUCAGCCACACUGGAACUGAGACACGGUCCAGACUCCUACGGGAGGCAGCAGUGGGGAAUAUUGGACAAUGGGCGCAAGCCUGAUCCAGCCAUACCGCGUGGGUGAAGAAGGCCUUCGGGUUGUAAAGCCCUUUUGUUGGGAAAGAAAAGCAGCAGGUUAAUACCCCGCUGUUCUGACGGUACCCAAAGAAUAAGCACCGGCUAACUUCGUG